RNAcentral lists this ribosomal RNA (502 nucleotides) under uncultured bacterium. RNAcentral describes it as "bacterial SSU rRNA". It matches the Rfam family "Bacterial small subunit ribosomal RNA", at positions 28 to 511 of the family's 1533-position model. The record is from RNAcentral.
GAUGAACGCUAGCGGCAGGCUUAACACAUGCAAGUCGAGGGGCAGCAUGAACCCGACCUUCGGGAAGGUUUGAUGGCGACCGGCGCAAGGGUGCGUAACGCGUGAGCAACUUGCCCGUUUCUGGGGAAUAACCGGUGGAAACGCCGACUAAUACCCCAUGGCAUCAACUUUGGGCAUCCUUAGUUGAUUAAAGAAUUUCGGAAACGGAUAGGCUCGCGUGACACUAGCUAGAUGGCGGGGUAACGGCCCACCAUGGCAACGAUGUCUAGGGGUUCUGAGAGGAAAGGUCCCCCCCACACUGGGUACUGAGACACGGACCAGACUCCUACGGGAGGCAGCAGUGAGGAAUAUUGGUCAAUGGUCGAGAGACUGAACCAGCCAAGUCGCGUGAGGGAAGACUGCCCUAUGGUUGUAAACCUCUUUAGGUCGGGGAGCAAAAAAAGCGGUACGUGUCCGCCAUUGAGCGUACCCGAAGAAUAAGCAUCGGCUAACUCCGUGCCAG